Molecule: long non-coding RNA, 251 nt
Filed under: Elaeis guineensis (African oil palm)
Lineage: Eukaryota; Viridiplantae; Streptophyta; Magnoliopsida; Arecales; Arecaceae
Description: long non-coding RNA (EGUI_LNC060839)
Source: RNAcentral
GGAGCUAUUUCUACUGUCAAGAUUUGCUCCGAUGGAAUAUGGGUAUAAUUGUCCCUCCGACUUGAGACCGUCACAGUGAUUUGCAGGCAACUCACUACACUGAGACACUGGACUACCUGAAUUUCUAAUUCAGUGAUGGAAGGCAGCUGGGUGUAGUCAAGUACUUGACUUGUCGGUGCGUGUGUCAAGAUGGGAUUGACCACUCCAGUUCAGGAGUGGUGUACAGUCGUAUUUUAAUUUAACAAAACCUU